UACGUAGGGACCGAGCGUUGUCCGGAAUCAUUGGGCGUAAAGGGCGCGUAGGCGGCAUGGCAAGUCGGGAGUGAAAGGCCUGGGCUCAACCGAGGAACUGCUUUCGAGACUGCCAAGCUAGAGUGCGGAAGGGGCAUCUGGAAUUCCCAGUGUAGCGGUGAAAUGCGUAGAUAUUGGGAAGAACACCUGAGGCGAAGGCGGGAUGCUGGGCCGACACUGACGCUGAGGCGCGAAAGCCAGGGGAGCAAACGGG
RNAcentral lists this ribosomal RNA (253 nucleotides) under uncultured bacterium. RNAcentral's name for it is "partial 16S ribosomal RNA". It matches the Rfam family "Bacterial small subunit ribosomal RNA", at positions 524 to 776 of the family's 1533-position model. The record is from RNAcentral.